UACCAGCACCCCGAGUGGUCGGGACGAUUAUUGGGCCUAAAGCAUCCGUAGCCGGUCCUGCAAGUCUUCCGUUAAAUCCAGCUGCUCAACAGAUGGGCUGCGGGGGAUACUACAGGGCUAGGAGGCGUGAGAGGCAAGCGGUACUUUAUGGGUAGAGGUAAAAUCCGUUGAUCCAUAGAAGACCACCAGUGGCGAAGGCGGCUUGCCAGAACGCGCUCGACGGUGAGGGAUGAAAGCUGGGGGAGCAAACCGG
Molecule: ribosomal RNA, 253 nt
Filed under: uncultured bacterium
Lineage: Bacteria
Description: partial 16S ribosomal RNA
Rfam family: Archaeal small subunit ribosomal RNA
Source: RNAcentral